This 406-nucleotide long non-coding RNA is filed under the name Rattus norvegicus (Norway rat). RNAcentral's name for it is "long non-coding RNA NONRATT006210". Lineage: Eukaryota; Metazoa; Chordata; Mammalia; Rodentia; Muridae. The record is from RNAcentral.
GACCAAGUACCCCAUCCAGCUCCUCCCAUCACCCAGCCCAAGUACCCCAUCCAGCUCCUCCCAUCACCCAGACCAAGUACCCCAUCCAGCUCCUCCCAUCACCCAGACCAAGUACCCCAUCCAGCUCCUCCCAUCACCCAGACCAAGUACCCCAUCCAUCUCCUCCCAUCACCCAGACCAAGUACCCCAUCCAUCUCCUCCCAUCACCCAGACCAAGUACCCCAUCCAUCUCCUCCCAUCACCCAGACCAAGUACCCCAUCCAUCUCCUCCCAUCACCCAGCCCAAGUACCCCAUCCAGCUCCUCCCAUCACCCAGCCCAAGUACCCCAUCCAUCUCCUCCCAUCACCCAGCCCAAGUACCCCAUCCAGCUCCUCCCAUCACCCAGCCCAAGUACCCCAUCCAGCU